This 31-nucleotide non-coding RNA is filed under the name Homo sapiens (human). Lineage: Eukaryota; Metazoa; Chordata; Mammalia; Primates; Hominidae. The record is from RNAcentral.
UCCACACUCACUGGCAGGUGCUGCCCUCAAA